AACCUUAAUGAACAAAUUUGCAUACCUUUGAUGUCUGAGGACGAACUAGAACGAGAAAAGCUGGAACCGGAAAUUGCAGCCGAAGAAGAAGAAGAAACAGUAAAAGCCAUAUCCGAAAAUUAUUCCUUUGUUUACAGGAGGCAGAGAAAA
Long non-coding RNA from Hibiscus syriacus, 150 nucleotides. RefSeq lists it as uncharacterized. The record is from RefSeq and is a predicted model, not a curated record. The transcript has 3 exons. Lineage: Eukaryota; Viridiplantae; Streptophyta; Magnoliopsida; Malvales; Malvaceae.